Molecule: RNA transcript, 1789 nt
Organism: Musa acuminata subsp. malaccensis (wild Malaysian banana)
Lineage: Eukaryota; Viridiplantae; Streptophyta; Magnoliopsida; Zingiberales; Musaceae
Gene name: plant-specific TFIIB-related protein PTF2
Source: RefSeq, a predicted model, not a curated record
GUAGAAGAACUGUGACGAUUAAUUGGCGAGGCAGCCCUUCUAUAUAUUCUCUCUCUCUCUCUCUCUCUCUCGUCGGGCGUAGCGUCCAUGGCGAACUGUUCGGGCUGCGGAGGCAGGAGGGUGAUCGUGGACCCGGACUCGGGCGACCGCGUGUGCGGCUCCUGCGGCCGCGUCCUCUCCACCGAGCACUACCGCCAUGAGGCCUUCACCUCGGAGGGUCAGCCCACCAGCUUCCUCCACUCCACCGGCGGCGACUUUGGCUACCGCGAGCGCAAGCUGCACCACGCCCGCGCCCUCAUCGCCGAUCUCACCGCGCGCCUCGGCCUCUCGGCCGCCCGCGCCGCCGAGGCCGGGGCCCUGGCGUCCGAUGUCACCGACGGCGCCCUCGGCGACGGUCAGUGGUUCCCCGUACUCGUCGCCGCCUGCUCGUACCUCGUUUCUCGCCGCCAUCGCCUCCCCCUUUCCCUGUCGGAGGCCGCCGCCGCCGUAGGGCAUGAUGCCUGCGAUCUCGGCCGCAUGGCCGCCCGCGUCGCCCGCCACCUCGGCCUCCCGCCGCUCCCUGAGUUUGACGCCGCUGGCGUUCUCGAUCGCGUGGUCCGCACCUGCCCUUGCUUCUCGGCGGUGGAUCCCGAGAAGUCGAAGGAGUUGAUUGGCCAGGGUCGGUUUCUCCUCCACUGCGCCACCAAAUGGUUCCUCACCACCGGGCGCCAGCCGCUGCCGAUGGUAGCCGCCGUCCUCGCCUUCGUUGCCGAAGUGAAUGGGGUCGGAGUCUCGGUGGAGGAGAUCGCGAAGGAGAUCUACGCUGGGGUAACUACGAGCAAGCUCCGGCUCAAGGAGCUCAUGGAGACGCUCGUUAGGGUUGCAAGAUCCUUGCUUCCCUGGGGUAAGGACGUCACAGUCAAGAACGUAGUGCAAAACGCCCCUUUGCUGAUUCGCUUGAUGGAAAGGAAGUCAAAAUCCGCCCUUUCUGAGGGUCUAGGGUUCGGCUUUGGUGGUCUUACCGGACCUUAUCAAGACGGCGAGGCGGAAGAUUCCAAGUAUUUCGAGAUCGAUGGUGAAGAAGAUGGCAACGCCAACUGCAACAUUCUGGAGGACGUCAAUCUCUCAGGGGAGUGCAUUUCAAGUGCUUACAAGAAUGUCUUGCAAAGAAUCUCCCAUCUAAAGGAAAUUGGAGAGUUUGAUAAGGUCCAAGUGAAGAAGGCAAGGAAAGACCAGUUGGAUUUUGUUGCAUUGCAGGAUUCAUGGGAAGGAAGAUGGGAUUCAGAAAAAAAAUUAACACUCGAGCAAAUGUUGGAGCGAGAUGUAGGUUAUGAUGCUCUGCCACCAUCUUUUGUUACUGGUGUGCAGGCCAGGAGAUUCAGGAAAGCCAAGAUCGAAGCAGCUAAGCGUCGGAUUCAUAAGAUUAUGAAGCCAUCAUCCUCUGUAGAUGCAGUUGGCAAGGUGGAGGAUUGUCUCCCGGGGGAGGAGGUGGUGGGUAGGAAAAGGAGGUCAAGGAAGAAGCUCCAAGUGGAUAGUCUUGAUUGGGAGGACUGCAUAAUUGAACUUUUGCUUCUUCAUCAAGUGAAUGAGGAUGACAUAGAGCAAGGUCAGUAUAACAGAUUGCUCGACCUGCAUGUCUUCUGUUCAUAGAGCACUGAAAGAUGAGGACCAAAUGGUUUUUGCCGGUAGGAUUGAAUAUUGAGGUUCCCCUGCCAAUUUACAAGUUGAACAUGCAAGGCGAAUGGAACAUGCAAACCAAGAAGACGGACCAUGGAGAGUGUUGCAGAGCCAGCUCCAGCUUUGGCCUGCG